Molecule: long non-coding RNA, 2304 nt
Filed under: Theobroma cacao (cacao)
Lineage: Eukaryota; Viridiplantae; Streptophyta; Magnoliopsida; Malvales; Malvaceae
Description: long non-coding RNA (TCAC_LNC001109)
Source: RNAcentral
GGGUUAAUACCCAUUAGAAACUUAUUUAAACCAACAAAUAUGGGUUAGUGGGGGACAUAUGGGACCCCCACCAUAUGAUGAUACUAAAUAGUUUGCAGGAUGGAGGCAUAGAAAUUGACUAAUGCAAAGAGUUUUAGACUUGGGUAAUCCUACCUGCCUUGAAGGUGCAUCGAAUGGCUUUCUUUUCAUUUUUCUGCCACCUAGGCAUCGGCUCUCUUCUUUAAACCCGAGCCUUGAAGAUUUUGGUAAGUGUUAGUGUCACGACCCGAUUUUCGAGCUAUAACCGGCUCAUGGACCCAAUGGGCAUAGCCCACUAAGCCCAAGCAAGCCUACUUACGUAAUCCUGCUCAUCAUCCCAUCAACUACUUUUAAAGUUACAUCUCACAAUUCCAACCUUCAAGUACUUUACUAAUAAGCUAUAGCAAUCAAAACUGCAUUUAUAUUAACCCAAAAUAAUAUUAACCAUUGCCACUCAUGGUCGCUUACCAAUCAAAAUAUACUUAUAUGGUCUAAGAUAUGCACCUGAGUUCUUUACAUCACAUGUACAUAUUUACAAACAAAAUGACUUUGGGCUUCCAACGGAGUGACCAAGGUGAAGGGACGGCUACUGAAUGCCAACGUACCUACCAAGAAGAUGAAACUACGUGGACACCUCAACCUAGGUUCCAACUGCCUCCUGAUAUGAAAACAUGAAGUUGAAAAUAGUGAGUACAAACUCAAUGAGUGAACAUAAGAAGGGAACAAGCAACGACAAGGAAAGUUUAAAGAAAUCAUGAUGCACUUAUUUUCAAAACAAUGCAAUUUAGUCUAGUUUUUAUUAAAAUCCCUCCAUUAAACCCCUGGUUAUUAAAUCAUUUAAUGAUGAAAGAACCAUAUUCAUCAUGAAAUUGGAAAGAGAGGAAAUUUUCAAUAAUCAUCCAAGCAAAGCAGUAUAAAUAGAAUGUUUCUUGCUACAAUAAAAUCAAUUUACAAGUAAAUGGGAAAUUUUCAAGAUUCAUCAUGCCAUGUAAUCACAUAUUAUAAUAAUAAUCUUUCUAUUGCAUAUACAUAUACUUAAGCAUAUAUCAAUUAGUAUACCACCACAUCUCAUCCAGCUCAUGUGCAUCCCCCCACAUCGUGCACAUAGUUGGACACCCCCAUCUCACCCAGCUCAUGUGCAUCCCCCCACAUCAUGCACAUAGCCAGACACCCUAUCUUAACCAGCUCAUGUGCAUCUCCCCACAUCGUGCACAUAGCCGGACACCCUAUCUCACUCAGCUCAUGUGCAUCCCCCCACAUUGUGCAUAGUUAAUGCCAUUGUAUGCAUCCCCCCACAUCGUGCACGCGGGCAAUAUCACCAUCCAUCUCACUCACCACCGUCAUCAUCGGCAAGUGCACACUUACCUUGCACAUGCACGGUUGCAUUUGUCACACAAUGGUACCCUUUAUGACAUAGUAUAUAUAUAUAUAUAUAUAUAUAUAUAUAUAUAUAUAUAUACUANNNNNNNNAUGACAUAGUAUAUAUAUAUAUAUAUAUAUAUAUAUAUAUAUCAACACUAUGCAGAAACAUAUGAAUUCAUCACACAAUCCAUUUCAUAAAAUAAAAACAUUUCAUAAGGGCUUGUUCCUGUGCAAGUUUUGAAGAAAGAACCAAGUAAAACGUUUUAGGGGAUUCAAUCAAACAUAUAUGUGUAUAUCCCAAAACCUUUUAAUGCAAGUUCACUCACCGGUACUUGUUGAACCUUUAAUCGACUCUAACUUCCCUAAUGGUCCAAAUGGGGUUGAGGGGCCUUGUUGGAACCUAUCAUGCACAAAAACAUCACAGCCAAUCCAAUUUAUAUUAAUAUCAUUCCAAAAGCUGUUUCCAAAUGCAAGCUUCAAUAGCCCUUCCUAUCUACCUUUCAAUUACCAUUUGAUUGGCUAUUCCAUUUCUCUACUUUAGUAACACUAGAAAUAGAUAAACAAUUUCAGCAAAUAACACAACUCAUAACUCUAAUUACUAGCCAUCAUCAAUAACUUAAAAUCAAUCCUAAUUCAUCACUCACCUUGGUGGAUGGUAAUAAAACUUCUUCCCAAGAGUCCUCAAGCUAUCGUGAAACCUCUCUUUCUCUUUCUACAAAGUUCAAUUGGUGAGAGAAAGUAUUGAAGAAAGACUUUUAAGGGGUUGUUUAAGGUGAAAGGGUAAAAGAGUAUGAAAAACCCUACAAUAGGGUGUGUAAAGCACGAAAAUUGAGGGUAGUUUGAGAGAGUGAUGGAAGCUUGAGAGAAACUUUCAUGGAAGAGGAGAAAAACGUGAGAUGGGAGGAGGAGGAAGAAGAAAAAGUU